UACGUAGGUGGCAAGCGUUGUCCGGAAUUAUUGGGCGUAAAGCGCGCGCAGGCGGUCCUUUAAGUCUGAUGUGAAAGCCCACGGCUCAACCGUGGAGGGUCAUUGGAAACUGGGGGACUUGAGUGCAGAAGAGGAGAGUGGAAUUCCACGUGUAGCGGUGAAAUGCGUAGAGAUGUGGAGGAACACCAGUGGCGAAGGCGACUCUCUGGUCUGUAACUAACGCUGAGGCGCGAAAGCGUGGGGAGCAAACAGG
RNAcentral lists this ribosomal RNA (253 nucleotides) under uncultured bacterium. RNAcentral's name for it is "partial 16S ribosomal RNA". It matches the Rfam family "Bacterial small subunit ribosomal RNA", at positions 524 to 776 of the family's 1533-position model. The record is from RNAcentral.